Molecule: long non-coding RNA, 497 nt
Filed under: Carica papaya (papaya)
Lineage: Eukaryota; Viridiplantae; Streptophyta; Magnoliopsida; Brassicales; Caricaceae
Description: long non-coding RNA (CPAP_LNC000263)
Source: RNAcentral
UGACAUCUUCCAUUUUCUGAUAUAUUAUAAUCUCGCCUUCUUCACUUCAUUUAUUAUUCUUUCUUUUUUACUUAUUAUAUAUUGAGCAGAGUUAUUUAUAGAAUGUCCAAUGCGAUGCAAGUUCGAAUUUGAGAUAACAACACCAUGAACUUGAGCAACAAACAAGUUCGAAUUGAAUGGUUUGAUAUUUUCUUUUCCAUUUUUCUUUUCUUCCUUGGGAUUAUCAACAAAUAAAUCCUCGAUAUCAUCUUGAUUCUUAUUAUUGGGUAAUUAUUCUUCUUCUUCGCCUUGUAAGUUGCUAAUCUUUUUUUUCUGGAGUUAAAGAUUUGUAGGAUCCAUGAUUAAUUACACCCUUCAUUUUUAACCCCCCAGUACUUGCAGUAAAUUCUCGAGACCUAGGUGGCAAUUCAUCAAAGUUUUUAGUUACCAUCUCCUUGAAUAUUAAUCUUGGAGUCUUCAAUCUAUUGUUUCCAUCUUUAAAUUGCCCGGCACGGAAG